This 191-nucleotide ribosomal RNA is filed under the name uncultured Streptococcus sp. Its description in RNAcentral is "partial 16S ribosomal RNA". It matches the Rfam family "Bacterial small subunit ribosomal RNA", at positions 338 to 520 of the family's 1533-position model. The record is from RNAcentral. Lineage: Bacteria; Bacillati; Bacillota; Bacilli; Lactobacillales; Streptococcaceae.
CCUACGGGAGGCAGCAGUAGGGAAUCUUCGGCAAUGGACGGAAGUCUGACCGAGCAACGCCGCGUGAGUGAAGAAGGUUUUCGGAUCGUAAAGCUCUGUUGUAAGAGAAGAACGAGUGUGAGAGUGGAAAGUUCACACUGUGACGGUAUCUUACCAGAAAGGGACGGCUAACUACGUGCCAGCAGCCGCGG